Loxodonta africana (African savanna elephant) is the source of this 126-nucleotide non-coding RNA. Lineage: Eukaryota; Metazoa; Chordata; Mammalia; Proboscidea; Elephantidae. The record is from Rfam.
GAUCACAUUUCUUUCUUUUCCUUUUGGUUCACUACUGAUCUCAUCUGAUCUCAGAAGCUAAGCAGGGUCAGGACUGGUUUAGUACUUGGGUGGGAGAACGCCUGGAAAUACCAGCUGCUGUAGGCU